GGCAGCAGCCGCCUCCGUCUACCUGAUCUCGUCUGAUCUUGGAAGCUAAGCAGGGUCGGGCCUGGUUAGUACUUGGAUGGGAGACCGCCUGGGAAUACCAGGUGCUGUAGGCU
RNAcentral lists this ribosomal RNA (113 nucleotides) under Capra hircus (goat). The record is from RNAcentral. Lineage: Eukaryota; Metazoa; Chordata; Mammalia; Artiodactyla; Bovidae.